AGCUUUGUGCAAUGACAGUAUCAUAGCCAAUGAGGUGUUAUCCAAGGCAUUAUUAUUGCUGAUUGAAAACUUUUCCCAAUACCCCACCAUGACAACUUGAAGUUGGCACUGGCAAUUUUUGACAGUCUUUACAGAGA
Molecule: small nuclear RNA, 137 nt
Filed under: Carlito syrichta (Philippine tarsier)
Lineage: Eukaryota; Metazoa; Chordata; Mammalia; Primates; Tarsiidae
Description: U4 spliceosomal RNA (ENSTSYG00000023026.2)
Rfam family: U4 spliceosomal RNA
About the family: U4 small nuclear RNA (U4 snRNA) is a component of the major U2-dependent spliceosome. The structure of U4 snRNA from yeast and human has been reported.
Source: Rfam by way of RNAcentral